UGGGGAAUCUUGGACAAUGGGGGCAACCCUGAUCCAGCCAUGCCGCGUGAGUGAUGAAGGCCUUAGGGUCGUAAAGCUCUUUCGCCUGUGAAGAUAAUGACGGUAGCAGGUAAAGAAACCCCGGCUAACUCCGUGCCAGCAGCCGCGGUAAUACGGAGGGGGUUAGCGUUGUUCGGAAUUACUGGGCGUAAAGCGCACGUAGGCGGACCAGAAAGUUGGGGGUGAAAUCCCGGGGGCUCAACCCCGGAACUGCCUCCAAAACUAUUGGUCUAGAGUUCGAGAGAGGUGAGUGGAAUUCCAAGUGUAGAGGUGAAAUUCGUAGAUAUUUGGAGGAACACCAGUGGCGAAGGCGGCUCACUGGCUCGAUACUGACGCUGAGGUGCGAAAGUGUGGGGAGCAAACAGGAUUAGAUACCCUGGUAGUCCACACCGUAAAACGAUGAAUGCCAGUCGUCGGGUAGCAUGCUAUUCGGUGACACACCUAACGGAUUAAGCAUUCCGCCUGGGGAGUACGGUCGC
Molecule: ribosomal RNA, 518 nt
Filed under: uncultured bacterium
Lineage: Bacteria
Description: bacterial SSU rRNA
Rfam family: Bacterial small subunit ribosomal RNA
Source: RNAcentral